GAGAAGUUGAGUUGGUGUGAAAUGCUCUACUGACUCAGUGAGUCUGAGUGCUACAUGAUUGUAGUGAUGUACGACACUGGCACAGCGCAGUGACAACUGACGCUCCUGACUGUAGAAUCUACAACGGAAUCCGGCGAAUGAUCAUGAUUGUAGCGGCAUAGCGCCUGCAUAGAUCUACGAUUUGUGAGCAGUACAAACCGUCCAUUGUCCAGUUCAGCCUCAGGGAAAUGUUUUCACAAGUAGCCACAGUGACUGAGUCUCUGUCAGUUCGCUUGUCCCUCGAGCAAAACACAGUUACACUCGUUGAUGCGGGAGUUCCAGUCAAGCUGAGGAAGCAGCUAACGUUACCCCGUCGACAGGAAGUACUCGUAGAUCUACGAGUCAUAGAUCUACUCUGCUGGGACACGGAAUGUCGCAUCUUGCACGUCAGUCCACUGAGGACAUGAUAGCAGAAGUCACUUUGCGGCUGUCCAAGAACCAUAGAAGUUAGAACGGGGAGCAUGAUGUUCCGGGGUAUGGCCGAGCACUGGUGGCAGUGCUAGUGGUGCAUUCGUUAGCCAUUUCGGUGUUGUCAACUCACAGCGUCUCCGGCUUGCCAAACUACUCAUCUCGAUGCCGGCUUGGCGAGCGGUAGCCUGCAUGCAUUCGCCGCUGCUAGGAACGGACGAGAAGGGACGCAGGUGAUGAGCAAUGGCAGCAGAGCCAAACGUCUCUUUCCUCGUCUUGUCGCAUCGCAACUGGUCGAGGAGCCACUCGUGUCAUGAUCAUGCGGCCUAUUAUCGUUAGGGACCUAGCCCUAGGUGCAGUUUUCGGUGUUGAGGAUUCAGUGUGGAGGCUUGAAUUGCCACCUCGGAAACUUCACAUCACACCAUCACUGCACUGCUUGGUGUGGCUAACUCAUCUUGCAGGGAGCUCAGGCGGUGCAUUACCUUCAUCAGCGUCACAAUGUCACACAAUCCAGCUAUCGGUACCACGGCUAGGAGUAUAGAAAUAGCCGCACUGCUGCCAGACCUGCAGUGACAUUAAAUGUUUUGUCUUCAAGGCAUCUCUCACAGAGUCUGAUGCUCUACACAAUAGAUCAGGACUCCGGUGCGAAUGUACUAGAAACUGAUGCAGCUAACUUAGCCCUGAGAAGGACAGUAUAGGAGCGCUCGAAAGCAAUUGCAGUGUUUCAAACCAAUAGCUGUGCUGCUCGCCUGAAAGCUCAGAUUGGAGAGGACUGCAUGGAGCUGAUCGCUACUGUACGUGACAUGGGCGAGGAGCUGGAGAUCUACGCUGCAAAUCUCACCUAUGCAGAGAGUGUCUUCUGUGCUAGAUCUACAUACAGGAUCACUACCAGUAUGUUGAUGGGCACAGCACAAAGCAGCAUCUGAUAGUGUGCAAAGAUGGCUUGAAGCGGACUUCUCGCCACUACCCUCGUCAUAUCCCAGAUCACCCGGGGCAAUUCCCACACCUGUGCAGAGAGCUACCUCCACACCAUUCAAGGUUGCACGCCGGGAUGUGGAGAGCUUCCUCCACACCAUCCAGGGUCGCACCACUGCCAAGGAUGCGGAGAGCUAGCCCGACACAAGUAAAUGCUCGUCUGAUUCAUUUCAUCACACCGUCCAAGGUCGCACCAAUGCCGAGGAUGCGGAGAGCUAGCCCGACACAAGUAAAAUACUCGUCUGAUCCAUUUCGUCGAGUGCCCAGUAUGUGCGCAUGGUGGAAGUGCCAUAGUACUGUGUCGAUCGAUGUCAGCAAUUACGGCCACCCUGAUUCACUACAGCUCAGAGCAGUCACACAGCGAGUAGAGACCUCUUUGACAGCGGUGAAGGCGAGAACGCAUCGGCGAGUCAUGGAGGCUGUGAAACACAGCACAACGCCUAUCUCUGAGUCUGUGCGUUGCUGGCAUGUACCAGCAGCUAUAUGCAGUCUGUUCUCAUGCAGUCUGUUCUCUACUUUUUGCCACAGUGAGGCUGUCGGUGCUCAGGAACCACCUCACCGUUCAUUCGGCUCGUUCUUGCUCCAAAUUGGUUGUCAUGCAUGCUACUUUCUAUUUCAGAGUUUCGCUCUUGAAUUUCUUACAGUCUGCGCUUUCCCAUGUGUCAUUAUUGAGAAAAAUAAUGCCCCCCCCCAACCUUUAUUACGCCGCUGUAAUUGGCCCAUACCCCCUCUCCCCAUAUUGGGUGUGCCUUCUUCACAUGUACCACUUCUGCAACCUUCAUAUGCUCUCCCUCUGCCCCCAUUUGACCCAGUACUGCAGGAAUCCUGGUGUGAAAAUUCAUGUGUAUUAAAAGUCAAAAUGUUUCCAACAGAAUGAGAACAAACCAGAAAUUUCCAGCAAAAAUAUUACUUGAAACUCGGAUGUUGAGCCAUAAAUAAAUGUGGAAGAGAAAAGGACAUAUGGAUACGAGUUAAGAGUAACUCUCCAUCACUGUAACAUGAUACUAUAUACAGUCAGAAAGUGCAAUAACUAGGCACAAAACUGACAGAGUACUGAAACAUUCGACGUCGGCACUUUCUGACUGUAUAUAGUAUCAUGUUACAGUGAUGGAGAGUUACUCUUAACUCGUAUCCAUAUGUCCUUUUCUCUUCCACAAAAAUAUUACUAUGAAAGUUAUCUGGGGGAAAUUGAAAACAAUGUGCAAAUGAAAUAAAUUGUGAAAAAUGGGGGUCUCGCUCCACAUAAACCGGUGUAAACCAGACAGACAACGGAGGC
Sycon ciliatum is the source of this 2698-nucleotide long non-coding RNA. RefSeq lists it as uncharacterized. The transcript has 3 exons. The record is from RefSeq and is a predicted model, not a curated record. NCBI's taxonomy places the organism in Eukaryota, Metazoa, Porifera, Calcarea, Leucosolenida, Sycettidae.